Molecule: ribosomal RNA, 395 nt
Filed under: Escherichia coli
Lineage: Bacteria; Pseudomonadati; Pseudomonadota; Gammaproteobacteria; Enterobacterales; Enterobacteriaceae
Also listed under: 3 other names
Description: partial 23S ribosomal RNA
Rfam family: Bacterial large subunit ribosomal RNA
Source: RNAcentral
GUGGGUAGUUUGACUGGGGCGGUCUCCUCCUAAAGAGUAACGGAGGAGCACGAAGGUUGGCUAAUCCUGGUCGGACAUCAGGAGGUUAGUGCAAUGGCAUAAGCCAGCUUGACUGCGAGCGUGACGGCGCGAGCAGGUGCGAAAGCAGGUCAUAGUGAUCCGGUGGUUCUGAAUGGAAGGGCCAUCGCUCAACGGAUAAAAGGUACUCCGGGGAUAACAGGCUGAUACCGCCCAAGAGUUCAUAUCGACGGCGGUGUUUGGCACCUCGAUGUCGGCUCAUCACAUCCUGGGGCUGAAGUAGGUCCCAAGGGUAUGGCUGUUCGCCAUUUAAAGUGGUACGCGAGCUGGGUUUAGAACGUCGUGAGACAGUUCGGUCCCUAUCUGCCGUGGGCGCU